AUUGAACGCUGGCGGCAGGCCUAACACAUGCAAGUCGAGCGGAUGAAGGGAGCUUGCUCCUGGAUUCAGCGGCGGACGGGUGAGUAAUGCCUAGGAAUCUGCCUGGUAGUGGGGGAUAACGUCCGGAAACGGGCGCUAAUACCGCAUACGUCCUGAGGGAGAAAGUGGGGGAUCUUCGGACCUCACGCUAUCAGAUGAGCCUAGGUCGGAUUAGCUAGUUGGUGGGGUAAAGGCCUACCAAGGCGACGAUCCGUAACUGGUCUGAGAGGAUGAUCAGUCAAACGGAAACUGGGAAACGGCCCAACCCCUAAGGGGGGGCAGCAUUGGGAAUAUUGGAAAAUGGGGCGAAGCCUUAUCCCAGCAAGGCGGGGGUGUGAAAGAAGGUCUCCGAAUGGUAAAGCACUUAAGUUGGGAGGAAGGGCAGUAAGUUAAUACCUUGCUGUUUUGACGUUACCAACAGAAUAAGCACCGGCUAACUUCGUG
RNAcentral lists this ribosomal RNA (483 nucleotides) under uncultured bacterium. Its description in RNAcentral is "partial 16S ribosomal RNA". It matches the Rfam family "Bacterial small subunit ribosomal RNA", at positions 30 to 507 of the family's 1533-position model. The record is from RNAcentral.